RNAcentral lists this ribosomal RNA (296 nucleotides) under uncultured bacterium. Its description in RNAcentral is "partial 16S ribosomal RNA". It matches the Rfam family "Bacterial small subunit ribosomal RNA", at positions 789 to 1084 of the family's 1533-position model. The record is from RNAcentral.
GGUAGUCCACGCCGUAAACGAUGGGUGCUAGGUGUGGGGAGUGUCGACUCUCUCUGUGCCGAAGCUAACGCAUUAAGCACCCCGCCUGGGGAGUACGGCCGCAAGGCUAAAACUCAAAGGAAUUGACGGGGGCCCGCACAAGCAGCGGAGCAUGUGCUUUAAUUCGACGCAACGCGAAGAACCUUACCAGGGCUUGACAUGCACGGGAAUACCGUAGAGAUACGGUAGCCCUUCGGGGCUCGUGCACAGGUGUUGCAUGGCCGUCGUCAGCUCGUGUCGUGAGAUGUUGGGUUAAG